Molecule: ribosomal RNA, 253 nt
Filed under: uncultured bacterium
Lineage: Bacteria
Description: partial 16S ribosomal RNA
Rfam family: Bacterial small subunit ribosomal RNA
Source: RNAcentral
UACGGAGGAUCCGAGCGUUAUCCGGAUUUAUUGGGUUUAAAGGGAGCGUAGGCGGGUUGUUAAGUCAGUUGUGAAAGUUUGCGGCUCAACCGUAAAAUUGCAGUUGAUACUGGCAUCCUUGAGUACAGUAGAGGUAGGCGGAAUUCGUGGUGUAGCGGUGGAAUGCUUAGAUAUCACGAAGAACUCCGAUUGCGAAGGCAGCCUGCUGGACUGUAACUGACGCUGAUGCUCGAAAGUGUGGGUAUCAAACAGG